GACGAACGCUGGCGGCGUGCUUAACACAUGCAAGUCAAGGGGGCCCAGCAAUGGGCAACCGGCGAACGGGUGCGUAACACGUGAGCAACCUACCGAACUGUGGGGGAUAGCCGGCCUAACGGCCGAGUAAUACCGCAUACGCUCUCAGGGAGGCAUUUCUUUGAGAGGAAACCUACGGGACAGAUCGAGGGGCUCGCGGCCUAUCAGCUAGUUGGCGAGGUAACGGCUCACCAAGGCAACGACGGGUAGCUGGUCUGAGAGGACGAUCAGCCACACUGGGACUGAGACACGGCCCAGACUCCUACGGGAGGCAGCAGUGGGGAAUCUUGCGCAAUGCGCGAAAGCGUGACGCAGCAACGCCGCGUGGGGAAGAAGGCC
This 378-nucleotide ribosomal RNA is filed under the name uncultured bacterium. RNAcentral describes it as "bacterial SSU rRNA". It matches the Rfam family "Bacterial small subunit ribosomal RNA", at positions 28 to 416 of the family's 1533-position model. The record is from RNAcentral.